CCGCCUGUAGCUCAGUUGGUUAGAGCAUCUAGCUUAUACCUAGAGGGUCCUACGUUCGAAUCGUAGCAGGCGGACAA
This 77-nucleotide transfer RNA is filed under the name Candidatus Nomurabacteria bacterium RIFCSPHIGHO2_01_FULL_37_25. RNAcentral's name for it is "tRNA-Ile". It matches the Rfam family "tRNA". From Rfam's summary of the family: Transfer RNA (tRNA) molecules are approximately 80 nucleotides in length. RNAcentral also lists the same sequence under 2 other names. The record is from RNAcentral. Lineage: Bacteria; Candidatus Nomuraibacteriota.